GUACGGGAAUAAUUGUUGGAAACGGCAACUAAUACCGUAUACGCCCUACGGGGGAAAAAUUUAUUGCUAUUAGAUGAGCCUAUAUUAGAUUAGCUAGUUGGUGGAGUAAUAGCCUACCAAGGCAAUGAUCUAUAGCUGAUCUGAGAGGAUGAUCAGCCACACUGGAACUGAGAUACGGUCCAGACUCCUACGGGAGGCAGCAGUGGGGAAUAUUGGACAAUGGGCGAAAGCCUGAUCCAGCCAUGCCGCAUGAGUGAAGAAGGCCUUUGGGUUGUAAAGCUCUUUUAGUGAGGAAGAUAAUGACGGUACUCACAGAAGAAGUCCUGGCUAACUCCGUGCCAGCAGCCGCGGUAAUACGGAGAGGGCUAGCGUUAUUCGGAAUUAUUGGGCGUAAAGGGCGCGUAGGCUGGUUAGUAAGUUAAAAGUGAAAUCCCGAGGCUUAACCUUGGAACUGCUUUUAAAACUGCUAACCUAGAGAUUGAAAGAGGAUAGAGGAAUUCCUAGUGUAGAGGUGAAAUUCGUAAAUAUUAGGAGGAACACCAGUGGCGAAGGCGUCUAUCUGGUUCAAAUCUGACGCUGAGGCGCGAAGGCGUGGGGAGCAAACAGGAUUAGAUACCCUGGUAGUCCACGCUGUAAACGAUGAAUGUUAAAUAUGGGAAGUUUACUUUCUGUAUUACAGCUAACGCGUUAAACAUUCCGCCUGGGGACUACGGUCGCAAGAUUAAAACUCAAAGGAAUUGACGGGGACCCGCACAAGUGGUGGAGCAUGUGGUUUAAUUCGAUGCAACGCGAAAAACCUUACCACUCCUUGACAUG
This 816-nucleotide ribosomal RNA is filed under the name Wolbachia endosymbiont of Diaea sp. r1 NSI. Its description in RNAcentral is "bacterial SSU rRNA". It matches the Rfam family "Bacterial small subunit ribosomal RNA", at positions 136 to 988 of the family's 1533-position model. Lineage: Bacteria; Pseudomonadati; Pseudomonadota; Alphaproteobacteria; Rickettsiales; Anaplasmataceae. The record is from RNAcentral.